Leptinotarsa decemlineata (Colorado potato beetle) is the source of this 781-nucleotide long non-coding RNA. NCBI's taxonomy places the organism in Eukaryota, Metazoa, Arthropoda, Insecta, Coleoptera, Chrysomelidae. The record is from RefSeq and is a predicted model, not a curated record.
ACAACAUGAAAGAAAACCUAUCACUGACAAAAAAGAGUUUCCCAGCAGUCCUGAAAUUAAAUUUAAUCAAAAUGCUCUCAAUGCAGUCAACAAAAUUUUCAUUAGAAAAGAUUUAAACACUGAAUUUGGAAUCCUCUCAAACCCAUUUUGUUGUGAUAAUAUGGGACUACACUACAUCAAUAAAAGGAUUGAUACACAACGCCCUUUUUAUCGUCUAUGCUCAAGUAGAAGAAUGUUUUCGGCGGUUGAAGUUAUUACAUUGAUUACCGAUCUUAAUGACAAUCUCUUUGGAGUGAAAUUGUUGCUCAACAACAAAUCCCCGAAUAUCGACGACUGCUAGUCUCAUAAGGUGCAACUAUAGACUGACAAAAUGGAAACUACUGGGAUUUAAAACUCGUUCUGGAAAGAUUGUUUGGAUGGUUUUGGAUGCUGUUGUUGACAUGACUCUGAACUGAUACUACACACGUUGAUGUAUUGAUCUGAAAUAAAUUAGAUUUUCAAUACAAACAUACCAAAAUUUUUUUCAACAGUAUCUGUCAUGAAGUGAUGAUAAAAAAGAGCGAGCUACAUUUAUAAUUAAAAUAAAAAAUCAACUGUCAUUCAAACCAAGGAAUUUGAAACAUGUUCUUCACGUACCAAACAAGGGAAAAAUAUUGAAUGGAAACACUACAUUAUACGGAUCAUAUCUAUGAGUGAAAAUUUUUGAGUCGAACAAAAAAUAUUGUAUACAACCACAAACUCUUUUCAUAUUAAACAGAGAAAAAAUGAGAAACAAUACUAA